GGCGGGAGGAUGAAGUUGAUUGACUAUGGUCUCUCUGGCAACCAGGAAGAGUCUGCCGAAGGUGAAGGCCAUGGACUUCAUCACCUCCACAGCCAUCCUGCCCCUGCUGUUCAGCUGCCUGGGCGUCUUCGGCCUCUUCCGGCUGCUGCAGUGGGUGCGCGGGAAGGCCUACCUGCGGAAUGCUGUGGUGGUGAUCACAGGCGCCACCUCAGGGCUGGGCAAAGGUGGGUCCUGGAGGCAGUGCUGCCAGGGGGCGGGGGUAAGUCAGCCAGGGAUGAGGAGCGGCCCAACUGCACAGGGAUCGCCAGUGCAAAUGCCCGAAGCGGCAGCAGAAGGCCAGAUAAGGGAAGUGGGCCGUAUGGCACUGUCCUUGGUCCAAGUGGAAAAAGCAGGAGCCAAGGCACAGUGAGAAAUGACUCAGCAUCAGGGUGGGAGGCAAGCGU
RNAcentral lists this small RNA (443 nucleotides) under Pongo abelii (Sumatran orangutan). RNAcentral describes it as "retained intron". Lineage: Eukaryota; Metazoa; Chordata; Mammalia; Primates; Hominidae. The record is from RNAcentral.